Molecule: ribosomal RNA, 240 nt
Filed under: uncultured bacterium
Lineage: Bacteria
Description: partial 16S ribosomal RNA
Rfam family: Bacterial small subunit ribosomal RNA
Source: RNAcentral
AGCGUUGCUCGGAUUUACUGGGCGUAAAGGGCGCGUAGGCGGCCGAUCAAGUCAGGCGUGAAAUUCCCGGGCUCAACCUGGGGGCUGCGCUUGAGACUGGUUGGCUAGAGGCCGAGAGAGGGUGGUGGAAUUCCCAGUGUAGAGGUGAAAUUCGUAGAUAUUGGGAAGAACACCGGUGGCGAAGGCGGCCACCUGGCUCGGUACUGACGCUGAUGCGCGAAAGCGUGGGGAGCAAACAGG